RNAcentral lists this ribosomal RNA (536 nucleotides) under Mycoplasmoides gallisepticum. RNAcentral describes it as "bacterial SSU rRNA". It matches the Rfam family "Bacterial small subunit ribosomal RNA", at positions 284 to 811 of the family's 1533-position model. Lineage: Bacteria; Bacillati; Mycoplasmatota; Mycoplasmoidales; Mycoplasmoidaceae. The record is from RNAcentral.
AGUUAUGCUGAGAGGUAGAAUAACCACAAUGGGACUGAGACACGGCCCAUACUCCUACGGGAGGCAGCAGUAGGGAAUUUUUCACAAUGGACGAAAGUCUGAUGGAGCAAUGCCGCGUGAACGAUGAAGGUCUUUUUAGAUUGUAAAGUUCUUUUAUUUGGGAAGAACAGUUAGUAGAGUGGAAAGCUAUUAAUUUGACUGUACCAUUUGAAUAAGUAACGACUAACUAUGUGCCAGCAGUCGCGGUAAUACAUAGGUUGCAAGCGUUAUCCGGAUUUAUUGGGCGUAAAACAAGCGCAGGCGGAUUAGAAAGUCUGGUGUUAAAAGCAAUUGCUUAACGAUUGUAUGCAUUGGAAACUUCUAGUCUAGAGUUUGGUAGAGAGUCCUGGAACUCCAUGUGGAGCGGUGAAAUGCGUAGAUAUAUGGAAGAACACCAGAGGCGAAGGCGAGGACUUGGGCCAAUACUGACGCUUAGGCUUGAAAGUGUGGGGAGCAAAUAGGAUUAGAUACCCUAGUAGUCCACACUGUAAACGAUG